RNAcentral lists this ribosomal RNA (486 nucleotides) under uncultured bacterium. RNAcentral's name for it is "partial 16S ribosomal RNA". It matches the Rfam family "Bacterial small subunit ribosomal RNA", at positions 30 to 507 of the family's 1533-position model. The record is from RNAcentral.
AUUGAACGCUGGCGGCAUGCCUUACACAUGCAAGUCGAACGGCAGCACGGGUGCUUGCACCUGGUGGCGAGUGGCGAACGGGUGAGUAAUACAUCGGAACAUGUCCUGUAGUGGGGGAUAGCCCGGCGAAAGCCGGAUUAAUACCGCAUACGAUCUACGGAUGAAAGCGGGGGACCUUCGGGCCUCGCGCUAUCGGGUUGGCCGAUGGCUGAUUAGCUAGUUGGUGGGGUAAAGGCCUACCAAGGCGACGAUCAGUAGCUGGUCUGAGAGGACGACCAGCCACACUGGGACUGAGACACGGCCCAGACUCCUACGGGAGGCAGCAGUGGGGAAUUUUGGACAAUGGGCGAAAGCUUGAUCCAGCAAUGCCGCGUGUGUGAAGAAGGCCUUCGGGUUGUAAAGCACUUUUGUCCGGAAAGAAAUCCUUGGCCCUAAUACGGUCGGGGGAUGACGGUACCGGAAGAAUAAGCACCGGCUAACUACGUG